GUCCGCGCGCGCGCACUCUGGAGGCCUCGCGCUUUCAUGUGAGUUGUUCGCAGGGGCUCCUGAGUCGCGGCCGCGCUGGCUGGAAGGCGGCGGCAGGAGGGCAGGGCUGGGUGCUCCUGCCUGUGCCGGGGCAGGUCAAAGGCUGGUUUUCGAUUCCUUCUCCAGCUGGUGCUCAGAUCCCUUCUGCAGGGCAAUGACUGCUCCUUUUUUGCCUGGGAGUGUGCAGGGGCGAGGAAAGGGGACAAGCAUUUUGAAGCAAGAAAAUAGCAGAGUAAGGUGUUUAAAGCAGAAUUCAGAUCUGGG
Molecule: non-coding RNA, 303 nt
Organism: Pelodiscus sinensis (Chinese soft-shelled turtle)
Lineage: Eukaryota; Metazoa; Chordata; Testudines; Trionychidae
Source: RefSeq, a predicted model, not a curated record